GAAGUAGAUAUAUGUCCCUAAAUACUAGGGAGUGGGGAGUUCUCACUUCCUCACCUUCAUUUUGUCAAAAAUCUUUUCUCAUAUCUGGCUAGCUUUCAUUCUUUUUUCUUCUCGAGACAUUGUGGGCCUAUUGGUGUUUUCCUCUCAUGUAGAAUUAAAAUUAUUAAUAUAGUUGGGUCUUUUUAAACUGUAAAGUAAUCCCUUUUUAAGGGAUUAUCGCAUCUGUCCCUUUGUAGGCAGUUAAGCUGGGAAAGCAGACUAUCACCUCAUUCGCAGAAGAGGAACACCUGGCAUAGAGAAUUGUGCCUGUUUCUAUGCAAGUGGCUGAGGCCUAAAGAAGAUACAAGAGGAUACAAGAUUUGUCCUGAGAAAAAAAACAUAGUUUUCAUGGGGCUGAGCAGCCAUUUCCUGAAAAAGUAACAGCUUCUCUGCUAUCUAUUUUUUUUCUGCCACAUGCUCAUGGUCUGAAGGAAACCACUUUGCCUUGGCCUGAAAUCACUCUCCUCCCUUGAAGCUGAGGAAGUUCUGGUUGCUGUGUUGCCUCAAGCUGCUGUUGAUCCUUUAAACUGAGCAUAUAUGCAUCAGAACAUCUCCAUCCAGAACCAGAGGAUGUGUCGGCAGAAUUGACACUGUUUUCUAGGCAUAUCAAUAUUUGGAGUGCUGAUGUUGGAUAACCAUGUAAUCAUUCAUUUGGAGAAACAUUUACUUUUACAUGAAGAAAUUGAAAUAGGGUUUUUGAUAACAAUUUGGGGGCUUGUCCUGGAUUCCCUGAGACCCCCCCCCCCCCCAAGGUGGCUGCUGCCUGAGGCUGAGUUGAAGAGAAGCGCUCUUGCCAACCUUUCCUCCGGGACUGCACAUGGGAUCUGAGACAUCGGUGUUGGCUGAGUAGAGUGACGGAACAAAUCUGGGAAAGAGGAAGCUGGCCGGGGACCAUGCAAGUUGUUAUAUCAAACAAGGGAAGAGAGGGGUAUGAUCAGAAGGGCAGCUAUGGAAAUGUGGGAGAGGAGACAUCCUUCCUCCUAGGACAUUUUUGCCUGCUGAAGUUAAAUACCUUAAUGUGGAUUCUGGAUGGAAGAAUAGCUGGAAUGAAGGAAGCAGAACCAGAAUCUCAAAAUUUGAAUAAGGCUUUCAACAUCACUCAGAAGAAGAAUGAAACUCCCUCUAAAUUCUUAAGGAGAAUGAAGGAAAAUAUGAGAAAGUAUUCUGUACUGGCUCCCCAAGAACCAGGUUAA
Molecule: long non-coding RNA, 1232 nt
Filed under: Sarcophilus harrisii (Tasmanian devil)
Lineage: Eukaryota; Metazoa; Chordata; Mammalia; Dasyuromorphia; Dasyuridae
Description: lncRNA (ENSSHAG00000029136.1)
Source: RNAcentral